Molecule: long non-coding RNA, 1621 nt
Organism: Carassius auratus (goldfish)
Lineage: Eukaryota; Metazoa; Chordata; Actinopteri; Cypriniformes; Cyprinidae
Exons: 3
Source: RefSeq, a predicted model, not a curated record
AUCUCUGAUGACCUGAGGAUGAACACAUUUUCAUCAAGUGUCCAUUUUGUGUGAACUAUCCCUUUAAGGACACAGAAAAUGUUGUUGUAGACUUUGGUUUCUGUCCGUACGGUUAAUAAUUUGUGUCAUAGUACACUAAGAGUGAAGUUACAGCAGUCAUUUUCACACACUUGUCUGCAGAGUUCAUUUUAAUUCCAUCUGGAAAGAUCAGAGUACAUCUGAAAUGAGUUUCCAGGUCUGGAUUUUAGAUAGACGAAAGGGGACUACAAUAAACGUUUCUGUGGCGAACUCUGAGGAGGAAUUCAAGAACACCACAGUUGAAGAAUUGAAAAGAAAACUCUUUUCUGCAGACAGCAGAUAUAAAGUCUGUGAGCUUUACUGCAAUGGUGAGCGUCUGUUUCAUGAUCGGACACUUGGCUCUCAUGGCAUUAAACACAGUGAUGUUAUUAUGAUUGCUCCACCGAUGCUUCCACGGAAGUAUUUAUGGACUGAAAUCAUCUGUUUUCUUCCUAAAGCUGACUCUUCAUCUUAGAUCAUAACAGAGGAGGUCACUUUAAGAUCUUAUUAUCUGGUUGUGAAUCGAAUGUACACUAAUGCAGGUGUAUAGCCAUGAAUAUAUAGCUAAUGCUAAUAAUAUGCAUGCUAAAAAGCAACUAGUUAUAAUAGUUAGCAUCACUUUUAACUAGUUAAAAUUAAAAACGAAAAGUUUUACACAAUUUUUUAUUAAUUAUAAUUAUUCUGAACACUGGUUUGUUUACAUAUUAAUUGUUUGUUAAGUGUUGUGCUUCAUACUUGUCUUGUUCUAAAUGUUGUAGUUUAUCUCAUAUCCAGAACGACAGCAUUUGUUUUCGCACGAGCAGUAAUUGUGGAAAUGUGAACACACAUAUUUAUAUCUUUAAUUAUCAUUCCUUCCAGCAAUUAAAGAAAGUCUCUCAUCUAAAGAUGAACGUGAAGGUGAAUUCAUAUCCAGGACAGAAUCUAUGGAGAAAUGAACUCUCAAUAUGUAAAUGAUCCGACUCACACAGCAUGCUGAUGUAUUAAUGACUUUUUAGUUUUAUAUUACAUUGUUCUUUGGCAGUUCAUUGUAAUUGUUUGAGAAAUGUAGUGAUUUCUGAGUGAAAUUUGAUCAGUGUGUCCAAAAUGAACAAGUCUCUCGUACCAACAGAUUAAUGUUGAGCUAAAUGAUCAUCAGUGAGCUGAAUUACUGGAGAUCCAUGACGUCUGUAGAGAAUAUAGACUACUCAACAAAUAAUAUCUUUGAGAUGAUUAUUAUGACUUUAUGAUGAAAGAUUAUGAAGACAAAAAAUUCUGACACACCGAUUCUUCUGCUAACAAAGUCUCUUUCUGAAUAAAACUCCUACAAACCUUCAUAAAACUGUUUUAAAAAGUUUGGAGUUGUGAAAAUGUGUUUUAAGGUCUAUAAGAAGGGGUGAAGUUUGUGGACGUUAUAUUUAAAAUUACAGUUACAACCCUUUGAAUAUUCAUGAUUUUUAUUUUAUUGGUAUGUUUUGGUCUAAAUCGAAGGAUAACUUGUCAUAAUAAAUCAGAACAAAGUACAAAAGUUCCCCUUCAUUGCACAAAUUGGUAGCACCCAACUCUGGUUUGUGCGUUCAGCCAGGGU